This 88-nucleotide transfer RNA is filed under the name Vararia minispora EC-137. RNAcentral's name for it is "tRNA-Tyr". It matches the Rfam family "tRNA". Rfam says of the family: Transfer RNA (tRNA) molecules are approximately 80 nucleotides in length. Their secondary structure includes four short double-helical elements and three loops (D, anti-codon, and T loops). Further hydrogen bonds mediate the characteristic L-shaped molecular structure. tRNAs have two regions of fundamental functional importance: the anti-codon, which is responsible for specific mRNA codon recognition, and the 3' end, to which the tRNAs corresponding amino acid is attached (by aminoacyl-tRNA synthetases). tRNAs cope with the degeneracy of the genetic code in two manners: having more than one tRNA (with a specific anti-codon) for a particular amino acid; and 'wobble' base-pairing, i.e. permitting non-standard base-pairing at the 3rd anti-codon position. The record is from RNAcentral. Lineage: Eukaryota; Fungi; Basidiomycota; Agaricomycetes; Russulales; Lachnocladiaceae.
CCUUCGAUAGCUCAGCUGGAAGAGCGUGGGACUGUAAUUGGAUAAUCUUGACAUCCCAAGGUCACUGGUUCGAUCCCGGUUCGAAGGA